Toxorhynchites rutilus septentrionalis is the source of this 1305-nucleotide long non-coding RNA. RefSeq lists it as uncharacterized. The record is from RefSeq and is a predicted model, not a curated record. NCBI's taxonomy places the organism in Eukaryota, Metazoa, Arthropoda, Insecta, Diptera, Culicidae. The transcript has 3 exons.
UUGGAAGCAAUUUUAUGUGGUCCAAAACAAAUAUGUAUUUGGUUAGUGAAGACAGAAUUUCUGUAUCCACCUUAUCUAUGAUUACUGAUCCUGGUAAUCAAAUAGUGGUACCGGAAGUUGAAGGAUGAAGAGUAUUUCACACACAACUUUUUGAAAGGCCAAAUUGUCGGUAUAGUGAAUGAUCCAUCAGAAAAGAAUGAAGAUACCGAUGUUGGGAAAGAUGAAGAACAGGACAAACAGGAGAAAGCCGCCACACCGGAGGAAUUUGGGCACUGCGGUGGUUCCCGACCCGAGGAGUCCAACUGUCAGAAGUUUAGGACCAAGCAUCAAGACGAGGACCAUAACCUCGCGCUUUCACUGGUAGAAACUGAAAGUAAUGUUUAUUUUUAUGUGAGUAUUAUUUUAUUAUUAUUAUUGUGAAUUAUUGUGAAGUGAUAAUAAAUAAAAAUAAUUUCAAGAAGUGUCUUGUAGCGGUCAGUACUAUAAAUCACUUUUAGGGCAAAACAUACUCUAAUAUGUAUUUGCCCUAAGGUAGACAACGACGCAAAUGGGCUGAGCUGAUCAUUAUACAGCGUAAAGCGUACUAGUUUUAGUUCGGGAGAGAGUCCGGGAGAGAUUUCCGCGAGACAAGGUUCAGGGAUGCUGCUUUGUAUGGAAGGGGAGAGGGAAGGCUGGAAGAUGGUUUUUCGAAACCAGAAUGAUUCGGCCAAUGACAAUCCUCAGAUUUCCGAGGACAGCCGACGAGAUUUGGGAAAUGACGUACUUCCUGUAAGUACGUUUGACUCCACUUUCCCUGAUCUGAGGAUUACUAAGCUUGCUCACUUUGUUCGUGACUGCAGAAAAUAGUGGAAGUGCGCGUGCUCGUUUCACUAAUUCCAAAGGUCAUAGUAAAACUGUAAAGUAGUAAACCAAAGGUAGCGUGUUGUGCGUGUGUGUGUUCGAGUCACAGUUACCCGUUCUCCCGCAGGCAAUUCGGAAAAGCCGCUUUAUAUGCCAAUAUAUUUCGCCGCUCAAAGAGCUCGUAUUCAACAUCCGCAGCACGAAUAGCAAAAUCACCCGUAGAGCCGGUCAUCAGCAGCAGCCAACAAAUUUGAACCAAUAGCUGGUGAGUCCGUUCCAAGCUAGUUUUUCUGUGCGUAGGGUGACGUCCGGUGAGGACGUCACGGAGUUUUUUAUAUAUUGCCUUAAGUCGGGAUGAAACGGACGGCGAGGAAAGUUCGCGUCCGAGAUAACCAUUAAAAGGUGAAUUGCAAUUACCGAGCGUCAUUGUCGACGUCGCCAUACAAUGCGCUCAAUAGAUAAAUA